GAUGAAGAACGCAUUGAAAUGCGAUAAGUAAUGUGAAUUGCAGAAUUCAGUGAAUCAUCGAAUCUUUGAACGCACAUUGCGCCCGCCAGUAUUCUGGCGGGCAUGCCUGUCCGAGCGUCAUUUCAACCCUCGAACCCCUCCGGGGGGUCGGCGUUGGGGACCUCGGGAGCCCCUAAGACGGGAUCCCGGCCCCGAAAUACAGUGGCGGUCUCGCCGCAGCCUCUCCUGCGCAGUAGUUUGCACAACUCGCACCGGGAGCGCGGCGCGUCCACGUCCGUAAAACACCCAACUUCUGAAAUGUUGACCUCGGAUCAGGUAGGAAUACCCGCUGAACUUAAGCAUAUCAAUAAGCGGAGGA
RNAcentral lists this unclassified non-coding RNA (358 nucleotides) under soil metagenome. RNAcentral describes it as "partial contains 5.8S ribosomal RNA, internal transcribed spacer 2, and large subunit ribosomal RNA". The stretch from base 1 to 120 matches the Rfam family "5.8S ribosomal RNA", at positions 35 to 154 of the family's 154-position model. The record is from RNAcentral.